This 497-nucleotide ribosomal RNA is filed under the name uncultured bacterium. RNAcentral's name for it is "partial 16S ribosomal RNA". It matches the Rfam family "Bacterial small subunit ribosomal RNA", at positions 28 to 507 of the family's 1533-position model. The record is from RNAcentral.
GAUGAACGCUGGCGGCGUGCCUAAUACAUGCAAGUCGAGCGAACAGACGAGGAGCUUGCUCCUCUGACGUUAGCGGCGGACGGGUGAGUAACACGUGGAUAACCUACCUAUAAGACUGGGAUAACUUCGGGAAACCGGAGCUAAUACCGGAUAAUAUAUUGAACCGCAUGGUUCAAUAGUGAAAGACGGUUUUGCUGUCACUUAUAGAUGGAUCCGCGCCGCAUUAGCUAGUUGGUAAGGUAACGUCUUACCAAGGCAACGAUGCGUAGCCGACAUGAGAGGGUGAUCGGCCACACUGGAACUGAGACACGGUCCAGACUCCUACGGGAGGCAGCAGUAGGGAAUCUUCCGCAAUGGGCGAAAGCCUGACGGAGCAACGCCGCGUGAGUGAUGAAGGUCUUCGGAUCGUAAAACUCUGUUAUUAGGGAAGAACAAAUGUGUAAGUAACUAUGCACGUCUUGACGGUACCUAAUCAGAAAGCCACGGCUAACUACGUG